Molecule: ribosomal RNA, 449 nt
Filed under: uncultured bacterium
Lineage: Bacteria
Description: partial 16S ribosomal RNA
Rfam family: Bacterial small subunit ribosomal RNA
Source: RNAcentral
AGCGAACGCUGGCGGCAGGCCUAACACAUGCAAGUCGAACGGAUCCUUCGGGAUUAGUGGCGGACGGGUGAGUAACACGUGGGAACGUGCCUUUUGGUUCGGAACAACCCAGGGAAACUUGAGCUAAUACCGGAUAAGCCCUUCGGGGGAAAGAUUUAUCGCCAUUAGAGCGGCCCGCGUAGGAUUAGCUAGUUGGUGGGGUAAAGGCCCACCAAGGCUACGAUCCUUAGCUGGUCUGAGAGGAUGAUCAGCCACAUUGGGACUGAGACACGGCCCAAACUCCUACGGGAGGCAGCAGUGGGGAAUCUUGCGCAAUGGGCGAAAGCCUGACGCAGCCAUGCCGCGUGAAUGAUGAAGGUCUUAGGAUUGUAAAAUUCUUUCACCGGGGACGAUAAUGACGGUACCCGGAGAAGAAGCCCCGGCUAACUUCGUGCCAGCCGCCGCGGUAA